UACCAGCACCCCGAGUGGUCGGGACGAUUAUUGGGCCUAAAGCAUCCGUAGCCGGUCCUACAAGUCUUCCGUUAAAUCCACCUGCUUAACAGAUGGGCUGCGGAAGAUACUAUAGGGCUAGGAGGCGGGAGAGGCAAGCGGUACUCAGUGGGUAGGGGUAAAAUCCGUUGAUCCAUAGAAGACCACCAGUGGCGAAGGCGGCUUGCCAGAACGCGCUCGACGGUGAGGGAUGAAAGCUGGGGGAGCAAACCGG
Molecule: ribosomal RNA, 253 nt
Filed under: uncultured bacterium
Lineage: Bacteria
Description: partial 16S ribosomal RNA
Rfam family: Archaeal small subunit ribosomal RNA
Source: RNAcentral